UACGAAGGGGGCUAGCGUUGUUCGGAAUUACUGGGCGUAAAGCGUGCGCAGGCGGCUUUGCAAGACAGAUGUGAAAUCCCCGGGCUCAACCUGGGAACUGCAUUUGUGACUGCAAGGCUAGAGUACGGCAGAGGGGGAUGGAAUUCCGCGUGUAGCAGUGAAAUGCGUAGAUAUGCGGAGGAACACCAAUGGCGAAGGCAAUCCCCUGGGCCUGUACUGACGCUCAUGCACGAAAGCGUGGGGAGCAAACAGG
This 253-nucleotide ribosomal RNA is filed under the name uncultured bacterium. Its description in RNAcentral is "partial 16S ribosomal RNA". It matches the Rfam family "Bacterial small subunit ribosomal RNA", at positions 524 to 776 of the family's 1533-position model. The record is from RNAcentral.